GACGAACGCUGGCGGCGUGCUUAACACAUGCAAGUCGAACGGAAAGGCCUCUUUCGGGGGGUACUCGAGUGGCGAACGGGUGAGUAACACGUGAGUAACCUGCCCUUGACUUUGGGAUAACUUCAGGAAACUGGGGCUAAUACCGGAUAGGAGCUCCUGCUGCAUGGUGGGGGUUGGAAAGUUUCGGCGGUUGGGGAUGGACUCGCGGCUUAUCAGCUUGUUGGUGGGGUAGUGGCUUACCAAGGCUUUGACGGGUAGCCGGCCUGAGAGGGUGACCGGCCACAUUGGGACUGAGAUACGGCCCAGACUCCUACGGGAGGCAGCAGUGGGGAAUAUUGCACAAUGGGUGGAAGCCUGAUGCAGCAACGCCGUGUGCGGGAUGACGGCCUUCGGGUUGUAAACCGCAUUCGCUCAUGACGAAGCUUUGUGUGACGGUAGUGGGUAAAGAAGCACCGGCUAACUACGUG
RNAcentral lists this ribosomal RNA (467 nucleotides) under uncultured bacterium. Its description in RNAcentral is "partial 16S ribosomal RNA". It matches the Rfam family "Bacterial small subunit ribosomal RNA", at positions 28 to 507 of the family's 1533-position model. The record is from RNAcentral.